CCGUAGAGAAGCUUGCUUCUCUUGAGAGCGGCGGACGGGUGAGUAAUGCCUAGGAAUCUGCCUGGUAGUGGGGGAUAACGUUCGGAAACGGACGCUAAUACCGCAUACGUCCUACGGGAGAAAGCAGGGGACCUUCGGACCUCGCGCAGUUGGAGCGGCCGAUAGCCGAUUAGCUAGUUGUAGGGUAAUGGCCUACCAAGGCAACGAUCGGUAGCUGGUCUGAGAGGACGACCAGUCACACUGGGACUGAAACACGGCCCAGACUCCUACGGGAGGCAGCAGUGGGGAAUUUUGGACAAUGGGGGCAACCCUGAUCCAGCCAUGCCGCGUGCAGGAUGAAGGUCUUCGGAUUGUAAACUGCUUUUGUCAGGGAAGAAAAGUUUGGAGCGAAUAACUCUAAAUGCUGACGGUACCUGAAGAAUAAGCACCG
RNAcentral lists this ribosomal RNA (430 nucleotides) under uncultured Sutterella sp. RNAcentral describes it as "bacterial SSU rRNA". It matches the Rfam family "Bacterial small subunit ribosomal RNA", at positions 70 to 495 of the family's 1533-position model. Lineage: Bacteria; Pseudomonadati; Pseudomonadota; Betaproteobacteria; Burkholderiales; Sutterellaceae. The record is from RNAcentral.